GCUUGCGUUCCUGGUAACAACCCUGGAAUAAUCAGUGCCCCUGGGAAAGGAACCCAUACCCCUGGGUGUUGUGCCCAUUUCUUGUGACUGCUGCCAGAGGACACUUCUCCGUUGCCUGGCUCUAGCGGCCAGCAGGAUUUUUACACUCCUGGGUCUCAUAAGAUUGUACCCAACAGAGAGAGAGAGAUUUAACAGCUGGUCUCAGUGAGGCACAGCAAGAGGCAACAGACCCAGGAGGUGGGUCUUUCUGUGAAGGAGACCUGUGAACUAAUUACCCUGGCGGUGGCCGGAGGGGUAGGCUUCUUAUUAAACAUCUCCAGGCUGACUGUAAUCCGUGCCAGAGUGCUCAAAGGGCAGGCACUAUCUUCCGCUCACCCUCUGCCCUGCCACAGUGACAGCCUCUCCUGGAGGGCAGCUUUCCCCAAAGGUUGAGCCCCAGGGGGCACCUUGGAUCUCCUGGCUCUGGCGGCUGAAGGGGCUUGCAUUCCUGGGUGCCACCGGACUGUGGCAAUCAGAGGACUAGUCUUCGGCAGGCUGCCAUCGCCAGGGCACUCACUGCACAGACAGCGGACUGAGGCACACUCCAGUCUUUCUGUGAAAGAGGCCACUUGGCUUGUCCUGGAGCAUCCGACUAAGAAGAAUGCUUCAGGAAGUUCCGAGUGCCAACCACAGAGGCUAACCCCAGCCAGAGGAGAGGCCUCCAGGAUUUGAUUUAGUCACCCACAUAGCAUGGAAUGACCUGAAAUUGACAACACAUUUUAGAACACGGCAAUGUUCUGAGGCUGCCCUAGAAGAAAACUGGACACCUUCAAGAAGGCAUUCAUCUUCAGGGACUGAUAUGUAAGAUGGAGAGCAGCAUCUAGAGGAGGCCUGCAUUCCUUGGCUCAGGACACCGCAUAACGUCAUCGCAUCUCCUUCACCGUCUCUGUGUUGGUUUGCAAACUGGCCCACUUGCAAGAGGAAGGAAGGCAAAGAGAGAUAGAAAAAAGAGGCAGACCAGUCCAGAUUGGUAGAUGGCAGCUUUAAUAAACAAGAGAACUUAACGAGGCCUGUCUUGGCUGAUCACAAGACUAGUAGGUGUCUGCACCCACCCACCAUAAUCUGGAAAAUUUAUAUAGAGGCCUUAACUGUGUUCAGCCAUGAAUAUGGUCUAGACGGUCUCAACAAAACACCACCAUCUAAAGGCUGUGUCCUUGCUGUGGCUUCUCAUGCAGGGAAGGAAAACAGAAUGCACAUUCCGAGAACAGAAGAAGGGGUGAGUGCCCAGGUCCAGCUCACAGGUCAACUGGUAGUCACAUCCUCCCCACGACCUCCUCCAACACUCUGCUUCUAUUGUCACAUCACCUUCUCUGACUUUAGUCUUUCUGCCUCCCUAUUGUAAGGAUCCCUAUAAUUGUGCUUGACCUAUCUGCUUAAUCCAGGAUAACCUCCCAACUCAAGAUUCUUACUUUAAUCACAUCUGCAAAGUGUCUUUUGUGUAUAAGUUAACAUAUUUACAGGUUUUGGGGAUUAGGUCAGGGACAUGUUUUGGGAGCCAUUAGUCUGCCUACCCUAUCUAUGGCUUUUGCCAAUGGGAGAAGACUCAAAAGGAGGAGCCUUCCCUAGGUUUUUGUUCAAAGCCAAAACCAUACUUUGAAAUCAUUUCAAAAGGCACAAGUAUGUUUUGCUAAAUGUAAUUGGUUUCUGUCUACAUAGGCCUUUCUUGUUAAAAUUUAAUUAUUACUACCCUUAGGGUUGUCUUUACUUUUCUUUUUAUUUCCUCUUACAUACCUAUUACUAUUAACCCAGAUCCCUUAUACCAGAAGUUUAUAUCUGAAAACGGAGAAUAGGAUUCUAAAUUCUAUUGCUAGAGUUCAUUAUAAUCCUUCUUAAAAUGGCUUCUGAUCCUAACACCCUCAUUUUUCUCAAUAGCUGUAUAGCAAAAUAGUAAUUGGGGAUAAGACAACGAGCAGAGAAAUUAAUUGUAUCUGAGUUAUAAGUUUGGCUCCCCCAUUUAACUAGUUGUAUGUUCUCAGAGAAGCCACUAAAUCUCUCUAAAGUUCAGUUUCUUCAUCUUUAUAAUGGCAAUAGUAGUUCUGUUGUAAUCAUGUUAAUUAAAUUGCUGUGAAGAUGAGAGAUCCAGUGCAGUGUCUUGCACGUAGUAGGUCAAAAAUAUCCCCUUCUUUCCUUCACCGUCACCAACCAUUGCAGACCUGAAGUGGGGCAUACCUGCUCUUAAGGGAACCAAUUCAUGUGAGAUUAUGACACUAUGUGCCCAUCUUAAGCCAUAUCUUCUACAUACACACAUCACUGAGUGUUGGCAAGGUGGGUCUAUUCCCAAUGUCAAUGUUGAUUUGCUUUUUUUUUA
Long non-coding RNA from Felis catus (domestic cat), 2347 nucleotides. RefSeq lists it as uncharacterized. Lineage: Eukaryota; Metazoa; Chordata; Mammalia; Carnivora; Felidae. The record is from RefSeq and is a predicted model, not a curated record. The transcript has 5 exons.